CUAACAAUGCUAGGAUUCUAACCCUACACCGUUAUCCGGUUAGGGGACAGUUUCAGGUGGUCAGUUUGACUGGGGCGGUCGCCUCCCAAAAAGUAACGGAGGCGUGCAAAGGUUUCCUCAGGCUGGUCGGAAAUCAGUCGUAGAGUGUAAAGGCAUAAGGAAGCUUGAUUGUGAGACCUACAAGUCGAACAAAGACGAAAGUCGGCCUUAGUGAUCCGACGGUUCCGAGUGGAAGGGCCGUCGCUCAACGGAUAAAAGUUACUC
This 264-nucleotide ribosomal RNA is filed under the name uncultured eukaryote. RNAcentral's name for it is "partial large subunit ribosomal RNA". It matches the Rfam family "Bacterial large subunit ribosomal RNA", at positions 2205 to 2468 of the family's 2925-position model. The record is from RNAcentral.